CACAAAAGGGAGGAAAGGUUUCAGGAACGUGUGGAAGGCUGUAAAAAGCCACUUCCAAACCCUCAAAACCAAAGUGUGUCCUCGUGUGCCUGACCGGGAGCCAUCGCAGGAGCAUCCACAAACAUCCAGAGCAGAACCGACAGCAGACACAGAUCCGCUCGAGUCCCAGACAACAGAUCAAUGCCUGAUCCUUUCUAAUAGACUGAGACGGGAAUUUGCAUCUCCACACUUUGGCUUUCCUUAUGAAGCGAGACCUCAACAUGAAGCAGAGUACUUCUGCUCUCUCUAUGAAGUGGGAGAAGAAGUGGGAUCGGGAGACUAUGUAGUCGGUGUCUAUGAAGGAAUUAGAAGAUCGGAUGGCCAGAGGGUGCUCAUCAAAUUUGUGAAGAGGCACUGGCCUGGGAAAACAUCGGAGUUGGUAAGUU
This is a long non-coding RNA of Sinocyclocheilus rhinocerous, 425 nucleotides long. RefSeq lists it as uncharacterized. The record is from RefSeq and is a predicted model, not a curated record. The transcript is spliced from 3 exons. Lineage: Eukaryota; Metazoa; Chordata; Actinopteri; Cypriniformes; Cyprinidae.